This 94-nucleotide ribosomal RNA is filed under the name Telipogon bullpenensis. RNAcentral describes it as "5.8S ribosomal RNA". It matches the Rfam family "5.8S ribosomal RNA", at positions 1 to 89 of the family's 154-position model. Rfam says of the family: 5.8S ribosomal RNA (5.8S rRNA) is a component of the large subunit of the eukaryotic ribosome. It is transcribed by RNA polymerase I as part of the 45S precursor that also contains 18S and 28S rRNA. The record is from RNAcentral. Lineage: Eukaryota; Viridiplantae; Streptophyta; Magnoliopsida; Asparagales; Orchidaceae.
UACAUGACUCUCGGCAAUGGAUAUCUUGGCUCUUGCAUCGAUGAAGAGCGCAGCGAAAUGCGAUACGUGGUGCGAAUUGCAGAAUCCCGUGAAC